UUGCAUAUUUCAAAAGCGGAGGAAAAGAAACCAACAGGGAUUGCCUCAGUAGCGGCGAGUGAAGCGGCAAGAGCUCAGAUUUGAAAUCUCACCUAGUGUGCGAGUUGUAAAUUGCAGGUUGGAGUCUCGGGUUAGACGUGUGUGCAAGUCCCUUGGAACAGGGUGCCACUGAGGGUGAGAGCCCCGUAGCGUGCAUGUCGACACCUGUGAGGCCCUUCUGACGAGUCGAGUUGUUUGGGAAUGCAGCUCUAAGUGGGUGGUAAAUUCCAUCUAAGGCUAAAUAUUGGCGAGAGACCGAUAGCGAACAAGUACUGUGAAGGAAAGAUGAAAAGCACUUUGAAAAGAGAGUGAAACAGCACGUGAAAUUGUUGAAAGGGAAGGGUAUUGGGCUCGACAUGGGAUUUACGCAUCGUUGCCUCUCGUGGGCGGCGCUCUGGGUUUUUCCUGGGCCAGCAUCGGUUUUCGUUGCAGGAUAAGGACAAUUGGAAUGUGGCUCCUCGGAGUGUUAUAGCCUUUUGUAGAUGCUGCGUAUGGGGACCGAGGGCUGCGGCGGACUCGCUCUCUCGAUGCUGCACCUCUACCC
Molecule: ribosomal RNA, 583 nt
Filed under: Pichia fermentans
Lineage: Eukaryota; Fungi; Ascomycota; Pichiomycetes; Pichiales; Pichiaceae
Description: eukaryotic LSU rRNA
Rfam family: Eukaryotic large subunit ribosomal RNA
Source: RNAcentral